GGAUCAUCGGACAAAAAGCCAUCGGUAUCGUGAACAGGGUCGGAGUUAGGGGAGUCAGGAUUCGGCGAGGCGGCGGCGGAAGAAGAACUAUGGUAAUGUACAGAGAGGUUACCCAUGCUGGCGCUUUUCUUGAUGAAAGACCCGUCGGUGAGCCUAACCCCAAAGAGCUUCACACCUCCGCCGCCGCCGGGGAGGGUAACACUGCCAGUUCUGCCACCGCGGGAGGGGCAGGUUCGGG
RNAcentral lists this unclassified non-coding RNA (238 nucleotides) under Hevea brasiliensis (rubber tree). The record is from RNAcentral. Lineage: Eukaryota; Viridiplantae; Streptophyta; Magnoliopsida; Malpighiales; Euphorbiaceae.